UUUCUACUCCCUCCGUCCGAAAAUACUUGUCAUCAAAAUGGAUAAAAAGAGAUGUAUCUAAAACUAAAAUAGGUCUAGAUACAUUUCCUUUUAUCCAUUUUGAUGACAAGUAUUUCCAGACGGAGGGAGUAUUUG
Non-coding RNA from Triticum aestivum (bread wheat), 135 nucleotides. NCBI's taxonomy places the organism in Eukaryota, Viridiplantae, Streptophyta, Magnoliopsida, Poales, Poaceae. The record is from Rfam.